This is a long non-coding RNA of Cornus florida, 1999 nucleotides long. RefSeq lists it as uncharacterized. The record is from RefSeq and is a predicted model, not a curated record. NCBI's taxonomy places the organism in Eukaryota, Viridiplantae, Streptophyta, Magnoliopsida, Cornales, Cornaceae. The transcript is spliced from 5 exons.
UCUCUAUUCUCGGUCUCAACUCUGAACUUGGCCCCCUUUUUCUCUCUGUAACUCCCCAAUCGCACGCCUCCAUCUCUAUUCUCGAUCUCAACUCUGAACAUGCCCUCUCUCUCUCUGACUCCCCAAUCGCCUCCAUCUCUAUUCUCGUUCUCAACCUUGAACUUGCCCCCUCUCGAUCUCUGCAACUCCCCAAUUGCCACUAUCUCUAUUCUCUUUUCUCAACUCUAAACUUGCCCCUUCUCUCUCUCUGCAACUGCUAACUAGAAAAUCUACAAGAAUCAGAAGUUUAAAACUCAUAUAUUUCAGUUUAUUUUGUCUGUCUGCAAGAAUCAAAAGUUCAAAACCUAUUGCACCACAGCCACCACCAUCACUCCACCCCAUAUCCUCACACCACCACUGAAGCCAACCCCUCUCUCUCUGUUCGAGCUCUCUGCUAUGGGUUUUUCGGCGAGAUCUCUAGCCAAACCUUGGCUUCUUGCUCUCCGGCCGACCCUCAGCUAAGGAGAUAACAUUCUCAUCUCGCCGCCAUCCACCGUUGCAAUUUUUUGUCAUCUUCUCCAGCGAAUCUAAGGCCGUCAUCUCAUUGUUCUCGGUUUGGUCUCUCUCUCGGAUUUUUCUCUUCAUUCCUUUGCUAUUCUCUCUAUCUUUCGGGAGGAAGCAGGUAGACUCAAGUUUGUAUGUGUUUCAAAUGAUGGUGAAUGAUGGGAGGAGCAUCGAUCCAUCUGAGCUGCAAGAGAAGUUAACCGACUUAGUCAUUCGGACUUCAAGUUAGAUCCCCUUUUAAUUUUUGUUUCUCUGCUAUUUUUGUUUUCAAACUAGAAUGGGGCUUUGAGUUGGAUUUUGAAGUGUGAACUUGUGGUGCUUGUGGGGGCUACUUUCUACUCUUGGGAAGUUUGUUGUCUAUAUUUUUGUAAGUCUUCCUUCCUUGCAUUCCAGAUAGUAAUUAAGAUAGUGUAGUGACUGUUCUUGUACAACAGAAAAAUAUUUCAUGUUAGGAUUAUUGAUUGAGACAACAUGCAUUAAUUCUGUCUUUCAUGUGUUUUUCUAUUUCUCCAGUGUUAUGACUCUUAGUUAAAACACAUAUUCCAUUAAAUUUUUGAUUUGGCUCUAUCUUAUUAUCCUUAUUCCUUAAUGCUGUACAGAUAGGAGCUAUUGAUAUUUAAUUUGCUCACCUUCUGUUCAUGUAAUAUAAAUCAUAUUGAACUUUUUUUUUUGGCAGUUAACUGAGUAAACUAUUUCAACAGCUACAAAUUUUAUUUCAUUUUCCACAAAUGACAUCAUCAAUAAUUUGCCUCUUCCAUUUCUGUUUUGAUUCCCAGCUAUCUUAAUUUAAUUACCUUUUUUCCCUCUUAAAGCCAAAAUAUAUGACCUUAAUAGAUUAUUAACACAAAAUUUUGCGUACUCACUGGUAGGGAUAGUCUUGGUUUUACAUGUUAUCUGUUUAAGUUUUUAUCAGUGGAAGAAAUCACUUUUCUGAAAAGUGUCUUCAUUAACAUCUCCUGGCCUACCAUUCCUUAUUCAUGCACAACAUGUGAAUCCGUCCCACACCCGGCUCUGAACUUGGAGAGCUCUCACUGCAUCACCAUGAUGGAAGCCGUUAACAAUGGAAAGGAUCUUCACGUCUCCGUCACCAUGCCUUCCAUUGAGGUGAGGACAGUCUCAAGGGAGCAAGUAAGAGCACUAAAGAAAGCUGUUGAUGAUAUAAGUUGCAAUGGUUCACUUUGAAUAGUUUCUCCAUGCAAACUACGUUUUCAGAGGCAACUUAAAGAAGUGUUUUAGAGAGUUUGAAGUUGAAGCUAGAAAAAAGAAAGUUUGAAGAUGGGGUCAUGGUUGUGCUUUCUGAAUUUCCUUAGCCGAUGUGAAAACUUCUAAUACAUUUUGAUGGGUUCUUUUGAGGAAACUUGUGGUUGUGUUCACAACUUUUGUGAAAAAUUAUUUUCAUUGUGUAUACUUCUUUUGUAAAAACUUGGUGUUCAGUACAGUAUUAUCUAUUAGUAGA